AUAUAUUUAUAUUCAUAAACCUUAGAUAGUAUAGCUGUAAAAGUGUAUUACAAAUCUUUGGAAAAAAAUAUAGGGAGACCAUGCUAUGCUAAGCUAUAUAGUUGGACCAACACAAAAAUAUCUCUGGGUCAACCAGAACAGCAAGACACAUGGACCACCACCCUCACGUGCACCAUAUUAAUAGUCAAUUGGUCAACAAUAUAGUCUAUGUAUGGGCUUCAACCUUCAGCCAAUUAGAAGCUAGCACCUGUGAGAACAAUGGAGAAGGGGAUGGGCAGCCAUACCCGCCAAGGGAGGUGGAUAUCAGAUAUUAGAUGGCUAGGAGAGCAGAGUAGGCAACUGCCAAGUUUCACUCGUCUCAGCUCUACCCAAAAUAGCCAGACCAAGCUCUCUUCUUCCCAGCAGCACUAGCAUUCCCCUGUCCAAAACCAACAAAGAUACAAGAACAAUAAGUGAAGAUGGUGACAUGAGAAAUCAUCAGUAAACUGAAGGGGACAGGCUAGAGCAAGAAGCUAGCCUACUGGACUGGGGUCUGGAGCACAAGAGCAGCAAGAGUAGGGCCAACAUAGAGAGCAGCAGAAGAAAGGUGAGUUCUUCCUCUUCUGCCAGUUCUUAGUACUCACAUACACAAAGAGGCCUAACCCAGAUGCACACACAAUAUUCCUCAAUGGAUUUUCACAUAUGCACAUAAAAGAUAAGCAAUCACAGUAGCAUCACAUCUCAGUUUUAGGAAAUAAAAGUAUGAGGAAGAAAGGGGAUACAGCCUCAAAUAACUCAAAUAAAUGGAUCAGGUUAUUGUACAGUAUCACUACACCAAAAUCUUGAACAGGGAGUGAUGAACUUGUUCAACACACGCAUGUGAGCCAAGUUAAUUUACUAAAUCUGAGAAGUUGAGCAUAAAAAAAUUAGGGAGAGGAACAAGGCAUACUAACCUGCACAAAUGUUUGAUCCGCUCCAUGGCCACGCACUGGAGCUCUGACCUGCACCAUCCAGCAUCACGGCGGCGCCCAACACCGGCGACUUCGAUCUGGAGCGGGGGAAUCACAUCCCCAAUAGGGUUUGACCUGCAAGUCAAGAAAAUAAAACACACAGGGGGGAUUAGAGAGUUUGUGAUAGAAAUCCAUGGAGGAAAAUUGGGGAUUAACACUAGGGAAGAAGCAGAGUUGUGGAUCCAGCAGCGGCAGCUUCCCUAUCGCCGGCGGCAUGGCCGAUAUGGCUGGAUUAGGAGCAGAGGGAUAGGAGGGAGAGGAGUCUUGUACGUGUGUUCUUGUUGGACUUGGACUAGUACCAGUCUGUAUUUUCUUCGGUUGAGAAGUACUAGUACUCCAGUGCAAAAUAGUACAGGAGAGAGAGAGAGAUUUAGAGAAAGGGAGGGCACGUGGAGGAUAAAUUAGCUUAGUAACUUACCCAGGUGCACACCUAGUACACGUACUAAUGCAAGCUUAGUAAAAAGACAUUAGAAAAAAAGUAAUAUUUGACUAUAGGAUGACCACACUACAUCGUCGUAUAUUUUUAUUUCCCUAGUAUUCACUCGACUUAGUCUCGAAAUAUAUAUUUGCCGAACUGCAGGAAGCGAGUACAGUCAGGAGAAGGAGGCGCUACAGAAGCAAAUUGAGUCCGGGUCUGAGUACGAGAACUCAGGCAAGCUCUUCUUGAUCAUGCUGAGUAGAACUAUUUAAAAAAAAUUCUAUGAUGUAUCUUAUCAUCAACUUGCAUAAAAUGUUUUUGAGAUAAGUUGUGUGGAGUGAGUGUUGGUAAAUAGUUGGGUUAGCUGAUGGAGCAGCUAAUCAAUUUUUGUAUAUAAUUAUUUGGUGGGUAGGGGGUGCCGGAAUGGUCAUAUUGGGAGGUGGGGUCCUCUACAUAUGGCUAUGAUAUUAAUAUUAAAAAAAUUCACUCGUUUUAUGCACCGUACUACAACCGUAUCAACCAUGGUCUCGUCUAAGACGAGUUGAGCCCAAUACCAUCAAGUUAUUAUACUCUCCACAUGGGUAAGUAGUAGUAGGAUGGGCGAUGAGUUCCCAUGCUAAUGCCGGAUGGGUGCAUUAGCAAGCGCUAUAUAUUAAGCGUUGGUGGAGUGCGGGUUCCGAAACCUGACACAACGGCUAGUGACCACUAGCCGGGUGGAGAUAUAAUAUACAAAUGGGAAAAAGCUUAGGUUCUAAACCAUGUCUCGCAUCUAAGGAAAUGCAUAUGGCAAUUAUGGUUUCGAGCUCUAUGGGUAAAGUGAUACAAACUCUGCAGAGUUAAAGUAAAACAUGAAUUCAUGCCAGUCUCUUGGACUGGGGAUUAUGGGGACCUAUUGGUGGUCUAUCUCGCAAUACGAGUGUUUGAUAGCUUUUAUAAAUUGAAAUAAACUUUCUGCAACAAAUGUUUAUUUUGAAAGGUGUUGAGUUGAGGUAGGACUUGUUGAUUUAUAUUGAGCUAUCAUGAGUGUUGCAUUUUGCUAUUUGAGCUUGCUGAGUACUUUGUACUCACUCUUGCUAUUAAUCAUCUCCUUCUUAGAGCAAAGCUUGUAUGAUAAUCCUGCUGGACCAAAUGAGGAGAGCAAUGGUGAUGGGUACAACUACACAGGGGACCUAGAUGUGGAUCCAUCUAGUGCUAUGUACGAUCUGGAUGCUACAUAUGGGGGUUGGGAGGAAUAACUAAUGAUCUAGCUAUGUAAUCCAGGAACCAUUCUACCACCACCUAUCUAGUACUGCUAGUUGGAACUCCAGAGUUAGGAGAUGUAAUAAUUGGGUGAACAUAUGAGAAGCCUACUUGAGACUUUUAGCCCUGCGUGGCAUGGUAUUGA
This 2791-nucleotide long non-coding RNA is filed under the name Triticum aestivum (bread wheat). Its description in RNAcentral is "long non-coding RNA (TAES_LNC010709)". Lineage: Eukaryota; Viridiplantae; Streptophyta; Magnoliopsida; Poales; Poaceae. The record is from RNAcentral.